This is a long non-coding RNA of Dalotia coriaria, 309 nucleotides long. RefSeq lists it as uncharacterized. NCBI's taxonomy places the organism in Eukaryota, Metazoa, Arthropoda, Insecta, Coleoptera, Staphylinidae. The transcript has 2 exons. The record is from RefSeq and is a predicted model, not a curated record.
UGGUAGCGUUCGCAGGCUCGGACUCUCGGAGUAGGUCAUGGUUAGGAGGAAAGUGGUCGCUCGGCGCCGGUGCGCCCGCCAUGUCGAGAAAUCACCAAUUUGACUUGCUACUUCCAAAAAUCUACCAGAAAAACAAAAAUAACUAAGUAGUGAAAAAGAAGAGUUGACUCAACUUCAGUCAUUUUAAUAGUGAGCAGACAAAGUCAUAAUAUUUUUAUGAUCGUCUGAUAUUUGCGAGUCCUCGCGCUUGAAAAUAUUGAUUUAUAAAAAUGUCAGAAAGAGCAAUAAAAUAACCGAAAAUGACUUCAA